This 762-nucleotide non-coding RNA is filed under the name Pongo abelii (Sumatran orangutan). Lineage: Eukaryota; Metazoa; Chordata; Mammalia; Primates; Hominidae. The record is from RNAcentral.
UUGCACUCCAGCCUGGGCAACAAGAGCAAAACUCCAUCUCAAAAACAAACAAACAAACAAACAAAAACACAUUUGGGUCAGGCGCAGUGGCUCAUGCCUGUAAUCCCAGCACUUUGGGAGGCCAAGGCGGCCCAAUUGCUUGAGCCCAGGAAUUCAAGACCAGCCUGGGCAACAUGGUGAAACCCCGUCUCUACAAAAAAUACAAAAAUUAGCAUGAUGGUGUGCACCUGUAAUUCCAGCCACUCAGGAAGGUGAAGCAGGAGGAUCACCUGAACCCAGAGAGGUCAAGGCUGCAGUGAGUCGUGAUCAUGCCACUGCACUCCAGCCUGGGUGACAGAAGGGGACCCUGCCUCAAAAAGAGAUUUGUCUUCUGAUGAGAAAGUGGGAAUGUUGAGAAGAGGGCAAAAAAUUGAUGUAAUAGAGGGAAGAAUGGCCAAUGUCCUUAGAGGCCAGGUGCAGUGCAUGUAAUCCCAGCACUUUGGGAGACUGAGAUGGGAAGAUCGCUUGAGGCCAGGAGUGCAAGACCAGCCUGGGCAACAUAGCAAGAACUUGACUCUACUAAAAAAAAAAAGGAUCCUUCAACUUCAACAAUAACAACACGAGGGAAGUGAAGAAAAACACUUUCUAAGGAAAUCUCUCUCUGAGCUACCAUCCGGCUAGGGAGAGCCUGAAAGCAGAAUGCUGACUUGACUAGCUCUGGCCAAUAAAGGAAAUCACCAGUGGAAAGGCUACCAGGGGGCUUCCUCAAAAGAGAGGGACGGU